This 301-nucleotide ribosomal RNA is filed under the name uncultured bacterium. RNAcentral describes it as "partial 16S ribosomal RNA". It matches the Rfam family "Bacterial small subunit ribosomal RNA", at positions 509 to 807 of the family's 1533-position model. The record is from RNAcentral.
CAGUAGCCGCGGUAAUACGAAGGGGGCUAGCGUUGCUCGGAAUGACUGGGCGUAAAGGGCGCGUAGGCGGCGCAGAUAGUCAGAUGUGAAGUUCCCGGGCUUAACCUGGGGACUGCAUUUGAUACGUCUGUGCUUGAGUGUGGAAGAGGGUCGUGGAAUUCCCAGUGUAGAGGUGAAAUUCGUAGAUAUUGGGAAGAACACCGGUGGCGAAGGCGGCAACCUGGCUCAUUACUGACGCUGAGGCGCGAAAGCGUGGGGAGCAAACAGGAUUAGAUACCCCAGUAGUCCCUGUCUCUUAUAC